RNAcentral lists this ribosomal RNA (254 nucleotides) under Tonsilla truculenta. RNAcentral describes it as "partial 12S ribosomal RNA". Lineage: Eukaryota; Metazoa; Arthropoda; Arachnida; Araneae; Agelenidae. The record is from RNAcentral.
AUCGAUAAUCCACGAUAAAUUUCACUUUAAUUCAAAAUCGAUAUACCGCCAUCUUAAGAAUAAAUCAAAAAAUAUUUCUCUAAAAAAUAAAUAUAAAGUUAGGUCAAGGUGUAAUCAAUAUUAAAGACAAAAUGAAUUACAUUAAGUAUAAUUUAAAGAUUAUAAAUACAUAUAUUUACAUAAAUAAGAAUUUAAAAGUAAUAUUUAAAUAAUAUUUAAAUAUGAUAUAGAUAUUAAAUGUGCACACAUCGCCC